RNAcentral lists this ribosomal RNA (643 nucleotides) under uncultured bacterium. RNAcentral's name for it is "bacterial SSU rRNA". It matches the Rfam family "Bacterial small subunit ribosomal RNA", at positions 232 to 885 of the family's 1533-position model. The record is from RNAcentral.
CGCGGCCUAUCAGCUUGUUGGUGAGGUAAUGGCUCACCAAGGCUUCGACGGGUAGCCGGCCUGAGAGGGCGACCGGCCACACUGGGACUGAGAUACGGCCCAGGCUCCUACGGGAGGCAGCAGUGGGGAAUAUUGCACAAUGGGCGCAAGCCUGAUGCAGCAACGCCGCGUGCGGGAUGACGGCCUUCGGGUUGUAAACCGCUUUCAGUAGGGACGAAGCUAACGUGACGGUACCUACAGAAGAAGGACCGGCUAACUACGUGCCAGCAGCCGCGGUGAUACGUAGGGUCCGAGCGUUGUCCGGAAUUAUUGGGCGUAAAGGGCUUGUAGGCGGUCCGUCGCGUCAGGAGUGAAAACUCGGGGCUUAACCCCGAGCCUGCUUUUGAUACGGGCGGACUAGAGGGAUGCAGGGGAGAACGGAAUUCCUGGUGGAGCGGUGGAAUGCGCAGAUAUCAGGAGGAACACCGGUGGCGAAGGCGGUUCUCUGGGCAUCACCUGACGCUGAGAAGCGAAAGCGUGGGGAGCAAACAGGCUUAGAUACCCUGGUAGUCCACGCCGUAAACGGUGGGCACUAGGUGUGGGGGACAUUCCACGUUCUCCGUGCCGAAGCUAACGCAUUAAGUGCCCCGCCUGGGGAGUACGG